This 350-nucleotide ribosomal RNA is filed under the name Microsetella norvegica. Its description in RNAcentral is "partial 28S ribosomal RNA". The record is from RNAcentral. Lineage: Eukaryota; Metazoa; Arthropoda; Copepoda; Harpacticoida; Ectinosomatidae.
GAGUUCAAGAGUACGUGAAACUGUGCAGUGGUAAACGGAGGUGUGCUCGAAGUCUGGGCAGGAGGUUCAGGCUGUCUGUGGGGCAGGUUGGGUUAGCGAGAUCCGCAAGGACUCCUGGCUUUGCCUUGCUCUGCGGCCGGCUGCACUUCUCUUGCUCUUCACACGACGAACUGCUGGUCGUGGACCGAGGGCGUGGGUGAAGUUGGGGACUUGUGCCCCAGCCCCGCGUUCCUGGCUCUGCGGCGGGCAGGUAUUGGAGCGGGCUCGUAUAGCGAGUGUCUCACUGGCACGGCUCGCCUCUCUGUCGUGAGUAGGUCGGCGGCACCUCCGACCCGUCUUGAAACACGGAC